RNAcentral lists this ribosomal RNA (274 nucleotides) under uncultured bacterium. Its description in RNAcentral is "partial 16S ribosomal RNA". It matches the Rfam family "Bacterial small subunit ribosomal RNA", at positions 523 to 796 of the family's 1533-position model. The record is from RNAcentral.
AUACGAAAGCUGCAAGCGUUGUUCGGAUUUACUGGGCGUAAAGAGAGUGUAGGUGGUUUAUUAAGUCGGAUGUGAAAUCCCGGGGCUCAACCUCGGAACUGCAUUCGAUACUGAUAGGCUAGAGUUUGGGAGGGGUAAGCGGAAUUCCGUGUGUAGCAGUGAAAUGCGUAGAUAUACGGAGGAACACCUGAGGCGAAGGCGGCUUACUGGACCGAUACUGACACUGAGACUCGAAAGCGUGGGUAGCAAACAGGAUUAGAAACCCCAGUAGUCC